GUUUUCGACGGUUAUAAAUGGAAAAUCACAAUUUAACGGUUAUUUUAGCUUCGAUUUUUAUGAUUUUUUUACAGCUACACUCCUCGACCCUCUAAGAAUGCAUUGAACAAAUUAGAUCUUCAAUUUAAAAUAUUUACACUAGUGGAUACCACAAAAUCUUAUUUUAUAUUUGAUGGGGAAGUAUAACAUUAACUCUAAGUGUUUGUUUAAUCUAUCGUUUUGAUGUGAUACACAUUCUACGAAACAUUUUUCAACGAUCCAACCGUCAAACUUGUUUGUACACACUCCGAGAUCGCAUACGUAAAAAAUCGCAAAAAACAAACAUUCAAGAUUAGGUAACAGAACAAAAGUUUUCGAUGGUUAUAAACGAAAAAUCACAAUUUAACAGUUAUUUUAGCUCCAAUUUUGAUGAUUUUUUACAGCAA
RNAcentral lists this long non-coding RNA (425 nucleotides) under Malus domestica (apple). RNAcentral's name for it is "long non-coding RNA (MDOM_LNC008472)". The record is from RNAcentral. Lineage: Eukaryota; Viridiplantae; Streptophyta; Magnoliopsida; Rosales; Rosaceae.